GGAGAGAUGCUCGAGUGGUUUAAGAGGCACGCCUGGAAAGUGUGUAAACCGGAAACGGUUUCGCGGGUUCGAAUCCCGCUUUCUCCG
Molecule: transfer RNA, 87 nt
Filed under: Candidatus Enterocola intestinipullorum
Lineage: Bacteria; Pseudomonadati; Bacteroidota; Bacteroidia; Bacteroidales
Description: tRNA-Ser
Rfam family: tRNA
About the family: Transfer RNA (tRNA) molecules are approximately 80 nucleotides in length. Their secondary structure includes four short double-helical elements and three loops (D, anti-codon, and T loops). Further hydrogen bonds mediate the characteristic L-shaped molecular structure. tRNAs have two regions of fundamental functional importance: the anti-codon, which is responsible for specific mRNA codon recognition, and the 3' end, to which the tRNAs corresponding amino acid is attached (by aminoacyl-tRNA synthetases). tRNAs cope with the degeneracy of the genetic code in two manners: having more than one tRNA (with a specific anti-codon) for a particular amino acid; and 'wobble' base-pairing, i.e. permitting non-standard base-pairing at the 3rd anti-codon position.
Source: RNAcentral